UCGAAUCUACAAUUUUGUUUCAUCCGAUUUGGUCACCGAUUUACAACGAAACUAACCCUCUCCACGUUCCACCAAUAACUACACACACACACACACACACACACACACACACACACACACACACACACACACACACACACACAUAACAUUUGAAAUUUAAAAAUUCAAAUUCGAAUUUCCAUUAUUAUUCGAAUCUCAGUUAUUACGCCGCCGCCGCCCACGGUCGGUCGUGCCGCCCUCCCUCGGCCUACGGCGACCGAUAGCCGUUGCCCCGGCGUUCCC
RNAcentral lists this long non-coding RNA (282 nucleotides) under Ananas comosus (pineapple). RNAcentral describes it as "long non-coding RNA (ACOM_LNC034331)". Lineage: Eukaryota; Viridiplantae; Streptophyta; Magnoliopsida; Poales; Bromeliaceae. The record is from RNAcentral.